RNAcentral lists this ribosomal RNA (255 nucleotides) under uncultured bacterium. Its description in RNAcentral is "partial 16S ribosomal RNA". It matches the Rfam family "Bacterial small subunit ribosomal RNA", at positions 524 to 776 of the family's 1533-position model. The record is from RNAcentral.
UACGGAGGGGGCUAGCGUUGUUCGGAAUUACUGGGCGUAAAGCGCACGUAGGCGGCUUUUUAAGUCAGAGGUGAAAGCCCGGAGCUCAACUCCGGAAUUGCCUUUGAGACUGGAUGGCUUGAAUCACGGAGAGGUGGGUGGAAUUCCGAGUGUAGAGGUGAAAUUCGUAGAUAUUCGGAAGAACACCAGUGGCGAAGGCGACUCACUGGCCCAUUACUGACGCUGAGGCGCGAAAAGCGUGGGGGAGCAAACAGG